Molecule: long non-coding RNA, 588 nt
Organism: Magnolia sinica
Lineage: Eukaryota; Viridiplantae; Streptophyta; Magnoliopsida; Magnoliales; Magnoliaceae
Exons: 3
Source: RefSeq, a predicted model, not a curated record
GCCUGGGUCAUCAUGCGGACAUUUUUCAUGUUUGUUCAUUUAUUUGUGUGCAAUUUGUUGUCCCGUUUCAUUUCACAGGUUUGGCACUUGUUGAUUGCUCUGCCAGUUCAGAGACGAUAGGUGUGCUAAAGCUGACGAUUGAUUUGGGUUGUUGUAUUGUGCUGGCAAAUAAGAAGCCACUUACAUUUGGAACUGAAGAUUAUGAGAAGCUAGUCUCAAACUUGCAUCGCGUUCAAUAUGAAUCAACUUUGAGCUAAAGCCAGUUCUUCAAAUCUUAUAUGAAAUGGGACGUGCUCCAGCGAUAUUGAUACCUCCGUAAGCUAAUGAUGGCACCUGGUAGAUAUGGGGCCCACAUGUAUGCAGGCCAUCCAACUCAUUCAUCAGAGGGUCACCUCAUGCUACUGUAUUCUGGGUUUUGAUAGUCUUCUUUCAAAUGUUCACCCUAACACUAAAUUGCGCAGGUUAUCAUGGCUCAUGGGUGCUUUGAUGAUACUAAGGUUGCAGAAGAAACCUCUUGUUCUUUUGAUUUUUUUAAAAAGGAUUUUGGAUGUCAUAAUUAUGUUUAUAAGUAGCUUUUCAUCAAUGUUU